GAUGAACGCUAGCUACAGGCUUAACACAUGCAAGUCGAGGGACCGGCGCACGGGUGAGUAACACGUAUCCAACCUGCCCUUUACUCGGAGAUAGCCUUUCGAAAGAAAGAUUCAUACCCGCUAUAAAGGCUGGGGAUGCGUUCCAUUAGGUUGUGGGUGAGGUAACGGCCCACCAAGCCUUCGAUGGAUAGGGGUUCUGAGAGGAAGGUCCCCCACAUUGGAACUGAGACACGGUCCAAACUCCUACGGGAGGCAGGAGUGAGUAAUAUUGGUCAAUGGGCGUUAGCCUGAACCAGCCAAGUAGCGUGAAGGAUGAAGGCUUAUGGGUCGUAAACUUCUUUUAUAUAAGAAUAUGUAUUUUAUGAAGAAGGAUCGGCUAACUCCGUGCCAGCAGCCGCGGUAAUUC
This 406-nucleotide ribosomal RNA is filed under the name uncultured bacterium. RNAcentral's name for it is "partial 16S ribosomal RNA". It matches the Rfam family "Bacterial small subunit ribosomal RNA", at positions 28 to 526 of the family's 1533-position model. The record is from RNAcentral.